UGUUAUGGGCGGGCCGUGUGGGAGGCGCUUGCGCCUGCCGGUGCCUACGACCGGUCUGUCAACCCGCACGGUUCGCUCUCCACU
This 84-nucleotide non-coding RNA is filed under the name Marinospirillum celere. Lineage: Bacteria; Pseudomonadati; Pseudomonadota; Gammaproteobacteria; Oceanospirillales; Oceanospirillaceae. The record is from RNAcentral.